CAGCAGCAGGAGCAGGUCCUGCUAGGCUGUGAUGGAGAAGACGGUGGUUUCAAAGGGUUGUGCGGCGGGGUUGUUCGGCGGGGUUGUGCGGUGGGGAUUGCGCGGUGAAGGGAGCAGGUCUUCUCUAUUUUUUUUUUAUAAUGAUUUGGUAAUUAAAAUAGAUAAACAAGUCGAUUUUCUUCAUUUUUUUUAUAAAGAUCUGUAAUUGCAAGCAUAUUUUGACUAAUUGGAUUUGGUUUUCUUGAUUUUAUAAAAGUUUUUUCUUCGUUUGGAUAUGAUUUGUUAUUGUUUUUGACUUGUUGUAGAUCUAGAUUUUGCAAAAGGGGAUAGGAGACUACGGUUGCGUCGGCUGCGACUUUUGGCUUCUAGGGUUUGGGCGGAGAUUGCUUUUGACUGCUAGGGUUGGCGGCUGGGGUUUGGAAUAGACACCGUAGUAAACCAUAGUAUACCAUAUUACACCAUAGUAUACUAUGGUCUACUACAGACUGUGAAUAUAAAGAGGAUACCAUAGUACACCACAGUCUACUACAGACAUUGAACAUAUAGAGGAUGUGCGAUGAAGUGAAAUUUAAGUUUUAGAUGUCUACAAGCGAAGAUAGCGGCGACUACGAUGACUAUAGAUGACUAUAUUUAUUGAUAGAAGAA
Molecule: long non-coding RNA, 645 nt
Filed under: Erythranthe guttata (spotted monkey flower)
Lineage: Eukaryota; Viridiplantae; Streptophyta; Magnoliopsida; Lamiales; Phrymaceae
Description: long non-coding RNA (EGUT_LNC003509)
Source: RNAcentral